GCUACACAUGCAGUCGAGCGGAACGAGAAGUAGCUUGCUACUUCGGCGUCGAGCGGCGGACGGGUGAGUAAUGCAUAGGAAGUUGCCCAGUAGAGGGGGAUAACCAUUGGAAACGAUGGCUAAUACCGCAUAACCUCUUCGGAGCAAAGCGGGGGACCUUCGGGCCUCGCGCUACUGGAUACGCCUAUGUGGGAUUAGCUAGUUGGUGAGGUAAUGGCUCACCAAGGCGACGAUCCCUAGCUGGUCUGAGAGGAUGAUCAGCCACACUGGGACUGAGACACGGCCCAGACUCCUACGGGAGGCAGCAGUGGGGAAUAUUGCACAAUGGGCGAAAGCCUGAUGCAGCCAUGCCGCGUGUAUGAAGAAGGCCUUCGGGUUGUAAAGUACUUUCAGUUGUGAGGAAGGAUGUGUAGUUAAUAACUGCGCAUUUUGACGUUAGCAACAGAAGAAGCACCGGCUAACUCCGUGCCAGCAGCCGCGGUAAUACGGAGGGUGCGAGCGUUAAUCGGAAUUACUG
Molecule: ribosomal RNA, 517 nt
Filed under: bacterium fme09x22p162
Lineage: Bacteria
Description: bacterial SSU rRNA
Rfam family: Bacterial small subunit ribosomal RNA
Source: RNAcentral